AGUGAACGCUGGCGGUAGGCCUAACACAUGCAAGUCGAACGGCAGCACAGUAAGAGCUUGCUCUUACGGGUGGCGAGUGGCGGACGGGUGAGGAAUACAUCGGAAUCUACUUUUUCGUGGGGGAUAACGUAGGGAAACUUACGCUAAUACCGCAUACGACCUACGGGUGAAAGCAGGGGAGCUUCGGACCUUUCGCGAUUGAAUGAGCCGAUGUCGGAUUAGCUAGUUGGCGGGGUAAAGGCCCACCAAGGCGACGAUCCGUAGCUGGUCUGAGAGGAUGAUCAGCCACACUGGAACGGAGACACGGUCCAGACUCCUACGGGAGGCAGCGGUGGGGAAUAUUGGACAAUGGGCGCAAGCCUGAUCCAGCCCUACCGCGUGGGUGAAGAAGUCCUUCGGGUUGGAAAGCCCUUUUGUUGGGAAAGAAAAGCAGCAGGUUAAUACCCCGCUGUUCUGACGGUACCCAAAGAAUAAGCACCGGCUAACUUCGUG
RNAcentral lists this ribosomal RNA (492 nucleotides) under uncultured bacterium. RNAcentral describes it as "partial 16S ribosomal RNA". It matches the Rfam family "Bacterial small subunit ribosomal RNA", at positions 29 to 507 of the family's 1533-position model. The record is from RNAcentral.